RNAcentral lists this ribosomal RNA (253 nucleotides) under uncultured bacterium. Its description in RNAcentral is "partial 16S ribosomal RNA". It matches the Rfam family "Bacterial small subunit ribosomal RNA", at positions 524 to 776 of the family's 1533-position model. The record is from RNAcentral.
UACGUAGGGGGCAAGCGUUGUCCGGAUUUAUUGGGCGUAAAGAGCGUGUAGGCAGCCAGGUAGGUCUGCUGUGAAAACUCGAGGCUUAACCUCGAGCUGUCGGCGGAAACCAUCUGGCUAGAGUCCGGAAGAGGAGAAUGGAAUUCCCGGUGUAGCGGUGAAAUGCGCAGAUAUCAGGAGGAACACCGGUGGCGAAGGCGGAUCUCUGGGCCUUACCUGACGCUCAGGUGCGAAAGCUAGGGGAGUGAACAGG